This 446-nucleotide ribosomal RNA is filed under the name uncultured bacterium. RNAcentral describes it as "bacterial SSU rRNA". It matches the Rfam family "Bacterial small subunit ribosomal RNA", at positions 330 to 792 of the family's 1533-position model. The record is from RNAcentral.
CCCAGACUCCUACGGGAGGCAGCAGUGGGGAAUAUUGCACAAUGGGGGAAACCCUGAUGCAGCGACGCCGCGUGAGCGAGGAAGUAUUUCGGUAUGUAAAGCUCUCUCAGCAGGGACGAAAAAAGACGGUACCUGACUAAGAAGCCCCGGCUAACUACGUGCCAGCAGCCGCGGUAAUACGUAGGGGGCAAGCGUUAUCCGGAUUUACUGGGUGUAAAGGGAGCGUAGACGGCAAGGCAAGCCAGAAGUGAAAGGGCAGGGCUCAACCCUGUACAUGCUUUUGGAACUGUGGUGCUAGAGUGCAGGAGAGGUAAGUGGAAUUCCUAGUGUAGCGGUGAAAUGCGUAGAUAUUAGGAGGAACACCAGUGGCGAAGGCGGCUUACUGGGCUGUAACUGACGUUGAGGCUCGAAAGCGUGGGGAGCAAACAGGAUUAGAUACCCUGGUA